This 428-nucleotide ribosomal RNA is filed under the name uncultured bacterium. RNAcentral describes it as "bacterial SSU rRNA". It matches the Rfam family "Bacterial small subunit ribosomal RNA", at positions 355 to 775 of the family's 1533-position model. The record is from RNAcentral.
UGAGGAAUUUUGCGCAAUAGGGGAAACCCUGACGCAGCAACGCCGCGUGAGUGAAGAAGGCCCUCGGGUCGUAAGGCUCUGUCAAGUGGGAAAAAAGCUUGCUGGUGAACAGCCAGCAAGACUGAUGGUACCAUUGAAGGAAGCACCGGCUAACUCCGUGCCAGCAGCCGCGGUAAUACGGAGGGUGCAAGCGUUGUUCGGAAUUACUGGGCGUAAAGGGCGUGUAGGCGGUAUGGUAAGUCAGAUGUGAAAGCCCUGGGCUUAACCCAGGAAGUGCAUUUGAAACUGCCAUGCUUGAGUAUGGGAGAGGAGAGUGGAAUUCCCAGUGUAGAGGUGAAAUUCGUAGAUAUUGGGAGGAACACCCGUGGCGAAGGCGACUCUCUGGACCAAUACUGACGCUGAGGCGCGAAAGCGUGGGGAGCAAACAG